UUGACUCUGAAUCAAGCUUACACUUUUCUGAAGCUGUGGUUUUAAGCAGUAGCCGAAAGUUGUCUUUCUCUGGUUUGUUAGCUAUUUCAGAACUUUAGCAAUGUAAAAAUCUAUUCAUUAGAAAGAAACAACU
Small nucleolar RNA from Cavia porcellus (domestic guinea pig), 133 nucleotides. The record is from Ensembl. NCBI's taxonomy places the organism in Eukaryota, Metazoa, Chordata, Mammalia, Rodentia, Caviidae.